UACGGAGGGUGCGAGCGUUGUCCGGAAUCACUGGGCGUAAAGGGCGCGUAGGCGGCCUGCUAAGUAGGGGGUGAAAUCCUGCGGCUUAACCGCAGGGCUGCCUUCUAAACUGUCAGGCUGGAGCACAGUAGAGGCAGGUGGAAAUCCCGGUGUAGCGGUGGAAUGCGUAGAGAUCGGGAAGAACAUCAGUGGCGAAGGCGGCCUGCUGGGCUGUUGCUGACGCUGAGGCGCGACAGCGUGGGGAGCAAACAGG
Molecule: ribosomal RNA, 253 nt
Filed under: uncultured bacterium
Lineage: Bacteria
Description: partial 16S ribosomal RNA
Rfam family: Bacterial small subunit ribosomal RNA
Source: RNAcentral